GUCCACAGCCAUACCACCCUGAACAAGCCCAAUCCUGUCUGAUCUUGGAAGCUAAGCAGGGUCGGGCCUGGUUAGUACUUGGGUGGGAGACCACCUAGGAAGACCAGGUGCUAUAGGCA
Molecule: ribosomal RNA, 119 nt
Filed under: Pteropus alecto (black flying fox)
Lineage: Eukaryota; Metazoa; Chordata; Mammalia; Chiroptera; Pteropodidae
Source: RNAcentral